UACCCGCAGCACAAGUGGUGGUCAUUAUUAUUGGGCCUAAAGCGUCCGUAGCUGGCGUGUUAGAUGCCUGGGUAAAUCGAUGCGCUUAACGCAUCGAAUUCCGGGUAGACCGGCACGCUCGAGACCGGGAGAGGUAUGGGGUGCUCGGGGGGUAGGGGUAAAAUCCUGUAAUCCUCCGGGGACGACCAGUGGCGAAGGCGCCAUACUAGAACGGCUCUGACAGUGAGGGACGAAGCCCUGGGGCGCAAACCGG
Molecule: ribosomal RNA, 253 nt
Filed under: uncultured bacterium
Lineage: Bacteria
Description: partial 16S ribosomal RNA
Rfam family: Archaeal small subunit ribosomal RNA
Source: RNAcentral